Molecule: long non-coding RNA, 1176 nt
Organism: Neofelis nebulosa (Clouded leopard)
Lineage: Eukaryota; Metazoa; Chordata; Mammalia; Carnivora; Felidae
Exons: 2
Source: RefSeq, a predicted model, not a curated record
CGCUGCAGGUGGAACUCAGGUGUGCCCGUGCAGCCGGCGAGCCUCAAGUGGCGAACGUAUUAAUCAUGUCCUUCUAUGCUGUUUUCUGAGACUCUAAUAUCUAGGGCCUCGUUGACCCUGGAGACCGCUCCUUCCAGAGCCGGCCAGUUCCUAGCGAGAGGAACUGAUUCACUGUGAGCACGCCUUGCACGCACAAAGCCGCGGACCCAGAGCCCACGCCCCCGCCACCUUCUCCAGCGGCACUCACACUCAGGACCACUGUCUCCUGCCCUCCUCACCCCAGGGCCAGGUACCAGAAAACUAGGUUUUCUGCACCCCAGAGCCCAAUGAAAUUAACCAAACUGCGGACCCUGCCUUGCCCGUUCUUCCCCGUGAAAACCACGAUAAAGGCUGCUGCCUGUGCUUCUCCCCGCCCUCCGCCUCCUGAUGGACCCUGGUCUCAGCCGUGUGGCCUCCCAGCGUGUGGCACGGUGCGCCCCCUCCUCUUGGGAUCGUGAAAACCUACAACGUUAUUGCAGGAGUCAGAGAGAUCGGAAGGUGUUAAAGCUGCCACUGGCAUUCGGCCGUGAUGCCUCACGCAGAGGGGACCAAAAGGUAACGAGACCAAGUUCCUCACACGACUUCAAUUUAAAUUAAACUUCCUUUAAUGAAAUAAAAAACAAACGGUGCAUUGCAUAAUAUCUGUGGUCACAGUAUAAAACAAUACAAUUAGUUCAUAUAACAUCGGGUAUGGACAAAAAUACACAAGACCCUUUCUUUGUCUACGUCAAAUCUGGCAGAUCCUUCUGUGCGACGCUAAGAAAGACAGAGAGUCAACUUUUUUUUUUUUUUCUUCGCCUAGUGAUCUGCGCGCAAUAUUUAUCACGGAGAAUUUGGUCAAACAGCAGAGGAGGACUUACCGAAAUCCCAGAUCCCUUCUUCCUCUGCUGCCAUUGGUGAAGCUAAAAAAAAAAAACACAAGUUUUCUGAAAGUAGCAAGUUGUGUAGUAUUGCUUAUUAUUCCUGCCCAAAAGGCUCAGUCUUUGGCUCACGGAUGUCAGUGACAAAAUCAUGGCUGCAGGCAGUCUGUAAAGCAAGAAGCGAGAGCCACCGGGGGAAACAGACAAGGGUCUGGGCAGGAGGGAUGUCCUUUGCCAGGAUCUUAAGGAAUAGCCACGUGGUGGGGGGGGGGGGGGA